Molecule: transfer RNA, 74 nt
Filed under: Nanobdellota archaeon
Lineage: Archaea; Nanobdellati; Nanobdellota
Description: tRNA-Arg
Rfam family: tRNA
About the family: Transfer RNA (tRNA) molecules are approximately 80 nucleotides in length. Their secondary structure includes four short double-helical elements and three loops (D, anti-codon, and T loops).
Source: RNAcentral
GGGCCUAUAACAUAGCCUGGAUAGUGUAUCCGGCUUCGGACCGGAAGACGCAGGUUCAAAUCCUGCUGGGCCCA